GCCUAGGAAUCUGCCUGGUAGUGGGGGAUAACGUCCGGAAACGGACGCUAAUACCGCAUACGUCCUACGGGAGAAAGCAGGGGACCUUCGGGCCUUGCGCUAUCAGAUGAGCCUAGGUCGGAUUAGCUAGUUGGUGGGGUAAUGGCUCACCAAGGCGACGAUCCGUAACUGGUCUGAGAGGAUGAUCAGUCACACUGGAACUGAGACACGGUCCAGACUCCUACGGGAGGCAGCAGUGGGGAAUAUUGGACAAUGGGCGAAAGCCUGAUCCAGCCAUGCCGCGUGUGUGAAGAAGGUCUUCGGAUUGUAAAGCACUUUAAGUUGGGAGGAAGGGCAGUAAAUUAAUACUUUGCUGUUUUGACGUUACCGACAGAAUAAGCACCGGCUAACUCUGUGCCAGCAGCCGCGGUAAUACAGAGGGUGCAAGCGUUAAUCGGAAUUACUGGGCGUAAAGCGCGCGUAGGUGGUUCGUUAAGUUGGAUGUGAAAUCCCCGGGCUCAACCUGGGAACUGCAUUCAAAACUGACGAGCUAGAGUAUGGUAGAGGGUGGUGGAAUUUCCUGUGUAGCGGUGAAAUGCGUAGAUAUAGGAAGGAACACCAGUGGCGAAGCGACCACCUGGACUGAUACUGACACUGAGGUGCGAAAGCGUGGGGAGCAAACAGGAUUAGAUA
This 672-nucleotide ribosomal RNA is filed under the name uncultured bacterium. RNAcentral describes it as "bacterial SSU rRNA". It matches the Rfam family "Bacterial small subunit ribosomal RNA", at positions 115 to 784 of the family's 1533-position model. The record is from RNAcentral.